Molecule: ribosomal RNA, 497 nt
Filed under: uncultured bacterium
Lineage: Bacteria
Description: partial 16S ribosomal RNA
Rfam family: Bacterial small subunit ribosomal RNA
Source: RNAcentral
GAUGAACGCUGGCGGCGUGCCUAAUACAUGCAAGUCGAGCGAACAGACGAGGAGCUUGCUCCUCUGACGUUAGCGGCGGACGGGUGAGUAACACGUGGAUAACCUACCUAUAAGACGGGGAUAACUUCGGGAAACCGGAGCUAAUACCGGAUAAUAUAUUGAACCGCAUGGUUCAAUAGUGAAAGACGGUUUUGCUGUCACUUAUAGAUGGAUCCGCGCCGCAUUAGCUAGUUGGUAAGGUAACGGCUUACCAAGGCAACGAUGCGUGGCCGACCUGAGAGGGUGAUCGGCCACACUGGAACUGAGACACGGUCCAGACUCCUACGGGAGGCAGCAGUAGGGAAUCUUCCGCAAUGGGCGAAAGCCUGACGGAGCAACGCCGCGUGAGUGAUGAAGAUCUUCGGAUCGUAAAACUCUGUUAUUAGGGAAGAACAAAUGUGUAAGUAACUAUGCACGUCUUGACGGUACCUAAUCAGAAAGCCACGGCUAACUACGUG